GACGAACGCUGGCGGCGUGCUUAACACAUGCAAGUCGAACGGAAAGGCCCUGCUUUUGUGGGGUGCUCGAGUGGCGAACGGGUGAGUAACACGUGAGUAACCUGCCCUUGACUUUGGGAUAACUUCAGGAAACUGGGGCUAAUACCGGAUAGGAGCUCCUGCUGCAUGGUGGGGGUUGGAAAGUUUCGGCGGUUGGGAUGGACUCGCGGCUUAUCAGCUUGUUGGUGGGGUAGUGGCUUACCAAGGCUUUGACGGGUAGCCGGCCUGAGAGGGUGACCGGCCACAUUGGGACUGAGAUACGGCCCAGACUCCUACGGGAGGCAGCAGGGGGGAAUAUUGCACAAUGGGCGGAAGCCUGAUGCAGCAACGCCGCGUGCGGGAUGACGGCCUUCGGGUUGUAAACCGCUUUCGCCUGUGACGAAGCGUGAGUGACGGUAAUGGGUAAAGAAGCACCGGCUAACUACGUG
RNAcentral lists this ribosomal RNA (467 nucleotides) under uncultured bacterium. Its description in RNAcentral is "partial 16S ribosomal RNA". It matches the Rfam family "Bacterial small subunit ribosomal RNA", at positions 28 to 507 of the family's 1533-position model. The record is from RNAcentral.